CAGUCGCCGCGGUAACACGAAGGGUGCAAGCGUUAAUCGGAAUUACUGGGCGUAAAGCGUGCGUAGGCGGUGAGUUAAGUCUGCUGUGAAAUCCCCGGGCUCAACCUGGGAAUGGCAGUGGAUACUGGCUCGCUAGAGUGUGUCAGAGGAUGGUGGAAUUCCCGGUGUAGCGGUGAAAUGCGUAGAGAUCGGGAGGAACAUCAGUGGCGAAGGCGGCCAUCUGGGACAACACUGACGCUGAGGCACGAAAGCGUGGGGAGCAAACAGGAUUAGAUACCCCCGUAGUCCCUGUCUCUUAUAC
Molecule: ribosomal RNA, 301 nt
Filed under: uncultured bacterium
Lineage: Bacteria
Description: partial 16S ribosomal RNA
Rfam family: Bacterial small subunit ribosomal RNA
Source: RNAcentral